GAUGAACGCUGGCGGCGUGCCUAAUACAUGCAAGUCGAGCGAACAGACGAGGAGCUUGCUCCUUCGACGGUAGCGGCGGACGGGAGAGUAACACGUAGGUAACCUAACUAUAAGACUGGGGUAACUUCGGGAAACCGGAGCUAAUACCGGAAAAUAUUUCGAACCGCAUGGUUCGAUAGUGAAAGAUGGCUGUGCUAUCACUUAUAGAUGGACCAGCGUCGGAUUAGCUAGUUGGUAAGGUAACGGCUUAGCAAGGCAACGAUACGUAGACGACCUGAGAGGGUGGUCCGCCACACGGUAACUGAGACACGGCCGACACUCCUAGGGUAGGCAGCAGUAGAGAAUCUUCCGCGAUGGAGGAAAGCCUGACGGAGCAAAGCCGCGGGAAUGCUGAAGGUCUUAUGCUCGUAAAACUCUGUUAUUAGUGAAGAACAAAAGUGUUAGUACCUGUGCACGUCUUGACGGUACCUAAUCAGAAAGCCACGGCUAACUCCGUG
Molecule: ribosomal RNA, 497 nt
Filed under: uncultured bacterium
Lineage: Bacteria
Description: partial 16S ribosomal RNA
Rfam family: Bacterial small subunit ribosomal RNA
Source: RNAcentral